AUGGCGACCGGCGCACGGGUGAGUAACGCGUAUCCAACCUGCCCUUUACUAUGGGACAGCCCGUCGAAAGGCGGAUUAAUACCGUAUGUUGUCAUGUUGAUGCAUAUUUUCAUGACCAAAGGCUUCGGCCGAUAAAGGAUGGGGAUGCGUCUGAUUAGCUUGCCGGCGGGGUAACGGCCCACCGGGGCGACGAUCAGUAGGGGUUCUGAGAGGAAGGUCCCCCACAUUGGAACUGAGACACGGUCCAAACUCCUACGGGAGGCAGCAG
RNAcentral lists this ribosomal RNA (268 nucleotides) under uncultured bacterium. RNAcentral's name for it is "partial 16S ribosomal RNA". It matches the Rfam family "Bacterial small subunit ribosomal RNA", at positions 88 to 354 of the family's 1533-position model. The record is from RNAcentral.